RNAcentral lists this ribosomal RNA (253 nucleotides) under uncultured bacterium. RNAcentral describes it as "partial 16S ribosomal RNA". It matches the Rfam family "Bacterial small subunit ribosomal RNA", at positions 524 to 776 of the family's 1533-position model. The record is from RNAcentral.
UACGGAGGGGGCAAGCGUUGUUCGGAGUCACUGGGCGUAAAGGGCGCGUAGGCGGUGCAUCAAGUCAGGCGUGAAAGCCCCGGGCUUAACCUGGGAAUUGCGCUUGAUACUGAUGCGCUAGAGAGCGGGAGAGGAUGGCGGAAUUCCCAGUGUAGAGGUGAAGUUCGUAGAUAUUGGGAAGAACACCGGUGGCGAAGGCGGCUCACUGGCUCGUAACUGACGCUCAUGCACGACAGCGUGGGGAUCAAACAGG